GGAACAACUCAGGGAAACUUGAGCUAAUACCGGAUGUGCCCUUCGGGGGAAAGAUUUAUCGCCAUUGGAGCGGCCCGCGUAGGAUUAGCUAGUUGGUGGGGUAAAGGCCCACCAAGGCGACGAUCCUUAGCUGGUCUGAGAGGAUGAUCAGCCACAUUGGGACUGAGACACGGCCCAAACUCCUACGGGAGGCAGCAGUGGGGAAUCUUGCGCAAUGGGCGAAAGCCUGACGCAGCCAUGCCGCGUGAAUGAUGAAGGUCUUAGGAUUGUAAAAUUCUUUCACCGGGGACGAUAAUGACGGUACCCGGAGAAGAAGCCCCGGCUAACUUCGUGCCAGCAGCCGCGGUAAUACGAAGGGGGCUAGCGUUGCUCGGAAUUACUGGGCGUAAAGGGAGCGUAGGCGGAUAGUUUAGUCAGAGGUGAAAGCCCAGGGCUCAACCUUGGAAUUGCCUUUGAUACUGGCUAUCUUGAGUACGGAAGAGGUAUGUGGAACUCCGAGUGUAGAGGUGAAAUUCGUAGAUAUUCGGAAGAACACCAGUGGCGAAGGCGACAUACUGGUCCGUUACUGACGCUGAGGCUCGAAAGCGUGGGGAGCAAACAGGAUUAGAUACCCUGGUAGUCCACGCUGU
This 629-nucleotide ribosomal RNA is filed under the name Caulobacter sp. RNAcentral describes it as "bacterial SSU rRNA". It matches the Rfam family "Bacterial small subunit ribosomal RNA", at positions 140 to 803 of the family's 1533-position model. The record is from RNAcentral. Lineage: Bacteria; Pseudomonadati; Pseudomonadota; Alphaproteobacteria; Caulobacterales; Caulobacteraceae.